UACCAAAAAAUCAUAAAAGCUAUCCACCAUAAUAUCAAAAUAACAAAAAAACCAUGAAAAAUAAAAGAGGGGACAACCCCUACAUUUUUGGACAAGGAUUAAACACUAAAAAUAAAUUAUCACAUAAAGCAUAUUAAGCUAAAAAAAAUGCAACUUAAGCAUAGAUCAAGGCAUAGGUAACAUAAAAAUUACAUUUUCUUGCAUAAUAACAUAAAACCAAACAAGAAAAUUUUAAAAUAUCUAAAAUGGUGGAAUAUAGCACAAACCUCUAAAAUACUAGCCUCUAAUACAUCUUUUUCCUUAUUAUUAGAGGUAGAACCUUCUAAGAAAGAAACAAAUCUAAAAUAAAUACAUAGAGACUUAAUGAAAAUAAAAUCUAAAUGCAUGAAUAACAUAAAUAGAUAUAUGAGAACUUAUUUCUAGCCUUAGUUUGAAAAAAAAUACUAAGAUUUUAGAUGAGAGAGAAAGAGGUAGAUUAGGUUUUAGUGAGAGAAAGCUUAGCAAAUGGUGAAAAUCCAAGAUUUUGAUGUAAAAAGUCACUUCCUUAGCUUAGGUACUUAAAUAUUUUUGCUUGAACUUGUUCAAAAAUGGUGUCUUUGAUGGUGUUGUAAAAAAAAAAAUGGAGAGAGAGAGAGAGAGAGAGAGAGAGCUUGGGUUUGGGUGGCUAGGGUUUUGAUGAAG
This 681-nucleotide long non-coding RNA is filed under the name Jatropha curcas. Its description in RNAcentral is "long non-coding RNA (JCUR_LNC002125)". The record is from RNAcentral. Lineage: Eukaryota; Viridiplantae; Streptophyta; Magnoliopsida; Malpighiales; Euphorbiaceae.